Molecule: ribosomal RNA, 468 nt
Filed under: uncultured bacterium
Lineage: Bacteria
Description: partial 16S ribosomal RNA
Rfam family: Bacterial small subunit ribosomal RNA
Source: RNAcentral
GACGAACGCUGGCGGCGUGCUUAACACAUGCAAGUCGAACGGAAAGGCCCUGCUUUUGUGGGGUGCUCGAGUGGCGAACGGGUGAGUAACACGUGAGUAACCUGCCCUUGACUUUGGGAUAACUUCAGGAAACUGGGGCUAAUACCGGAUAGGAGCUCCUGCUGCAUGGUGGGGGUUGGAAAGUUUCGGCGGUUGGGGAUGGACUCGCGGCUUAUCAGCUUGUUGGUGGGGUAGUGGCUUACCAAGGCUUUGACGGGUAGCCGGCCUGAGAGGGUGACCGGCCACAUUGGGACUAAGAUACGGCCCAGACUCCUACGGGAGGCAGCAGUGGGGAAUAUUGCAGAAUGGGCGGAAGCCUGAUGCAGCAACGCCGCGUGCGGGAUGACGGCCUUCGGGUUGUAAACCGCUUUCGCCUGUGACGAAGCGUGAGUGACGGUAAUGUGUAAAGAAGCACCGGCUAACUACGUG